Molecule: long non-coding RNA, 1160 nt
Organism: Astatotilapia calliptera (eastern happy)
Lineage: Eukaryota; Metazoa; Chordata; Actinopteri; Cichliformes; Cichlidae
Source: Ensembl
CCGCGGUCCCGCCUCGCGCCUCCCAACCUUUCCCCCAGUUCGAGCGCGCCGCUGGGUUCACCGGGUUUACUCUGACACCGCUGACUCCGCGGCCACGCCCCCCGACAGCCACGCACCCCGCCGCGGGCCAAUCGCGUGACGCUCACGUAGCGAUCACGCACCGCCUCGCCCGUGAUUGGCCGCGGCCCGCUACACCUUUGACUUUGAUUGGCUGCGUGUUACCACCCGCCAGACCGCUCUGAAUUUCGUUUCUGUGUUUUUUGUUUUUUUUCCGGUGCUCUCAGCUGAAGCCAGUCUGCUGGCAGCGGCUCAGCGCUCCGACUGAAGCUCCAGUAGCUGUACACGGAGUUGCCGCCGACCCUUUCUCCACUCCUCCGUCCGCUCUUUCUCUUCGUCAACUCAGCCUCGCUGCUGUCAGAUGCAGCUCAGCCGGAGGUGGGAAAACUGUGACAUCAUUGGUCAUUAGAUGGGAGGUGUUUGGCUUUAUCCGUGGAGUAAGAGGAAGAAAGAAAGAAAAAGAAGCUGGGCUGUGAGGCAGACGCUCAACAGUUUAUAGGAUAGUGAGCACUAACAGUGCGUUUAAGUCAUAUGGGAGAAAGAAGACGGUCCACUGCCUGCUUGCCAUCACCCUCAAUUAGCUUCCAGAAGUUGCCUGUGUAGCUAAAGCCCAACAGAAACUUCGAUGAGACCAGAAGAAGCAGCUGGUUGUGGCUGAACUACCCUCUGCCCAUGUCUCUACCCAUGCCCCUCUUUAGGUUUCCAGAAGCAGUCCAGUCAGAUGAAAGUGGGCUUUGAUUGGAGCAUGACUGAUAUACCUGUGAAGCUGAUAUUGGCUAUUUCCCAAUAUAUCAUUAUCAGAAUGUAUAACAGCCGAAAAAUAAAUCAAAGUAAGGAAGACACGGGAGAAACGAUUACUUGUCCACGAGAGGACACUCUGCAACUUCCCUGUUGGCAACAUAUGUUUGGAAACUCCCACCAAAUUCAGUCUUUAAGUCUGAUGUUAUUAGCCAUUUCCGGGUCCAAACUUUGCUUCAGGUCCCAAAGUCAAAUGAACACUGUGGCAUAACUGAGAGUUAAAAACUGUCUAAAUUCUUUCAUGUUCAAUAAAAUGGUCAGUGUGGUUUCUUUACCAGGUGUAACAAUUACAUUUAACAUCCGGG